Molecule: ribosomal RNA, 123 nt
Filed under: Rosa chinensis
Lineage: Eukaryota; Viridiplantae; Streptophyta; Magnoliopsida; Rosales; Rosaceae
Source: RNAcentral
GAGUGCGAUCAUACUAGUAGUAAUGCACUAAAUGCCAUCAGAAUUUAGGAGUUAAGCUUACUUGAAUGAGAGUAGUAAUAGGAUGGAUAUAUAUCAUUCUUGGAAGGCCUCGUGUUGCACCCA